RNAcentral lists this ribosomal RNA (346 nucleotides) under uncultured bacterium. RNAcentral describes it as "bacterial SSU rRNA". It matches the Rfam family "Bacterial small subunit ribosomal RNA", at positions 917 to 1264 of the family's 1533-position model. The record is from RNAcentral.
GGGCCCGCACAAGCGGUGGAGUAUGUGGUUUAAUUCGAUGCAACGCGAAGAACCUUACCAGGGCUUGACAUCCUGCGAACCUCUGGGAAACCGGAGGGUGCCUUCGGGAACGCAGUGACAGGUGGUGCAUGGCUGUCGUCAGCUCGUGUCGUGAGAUGUUGGGUUAAGUCCCGCAACGAGCGCAACCCACGUCUUUAGUUGCCAGCAUUUAGUUGGGCACUCUAGAGAGACCGCCGGUGACAAACCGGAGGAAGGUGUGGAUGACGUCAAGUCAUCAUGCCCCUUACGUCCUGGGCUACACACGUACUACAAUGCUACGGACAAAGGGCAGCAAGUUCGCGAGGAC